GAUGAACGCUGGCGGCGUGCCUAAUACAUGCAAGUCGAGCGAACAGACGAGGAGCUUGCUCCUCUGACGUUAGCGGCGGACGGGUGAGUAACACGUGGAUAACCUACCUAUAAGACUGGGAUAACUUCGGGAAACCGGAGCUAAUACCGGAUAAUAUAUUGAACCGCAUGGUUCAAUAGUGAAAGACGGUUUUGCUGUCACUUAUAGAUGGAUCCGCGCCGCAUUAGCUAGUUGGUAAGGUAACGGCUUACCAAGGCAACGAUGCGUAGCCGACCUGAGAGGGUGGUCGGCCACACUGGAGCUGAGACACGGUCCAGACUCCUACGGGAGGCAGCAGUAGGGAAUCUUCCGCAAUGGGCGGAAGCCUGACGGAGCAACGCCGCGUGAGUGAUGAAAGUCUUCGGAUCGUAAAACUCUGUUAUUAGGGAAGAACAAAUGUGUAAGUAACUAUGCACGUCUUGACGGUACCUAAUCAGAAAGCCACGGCUAACUACGUG
This 497-nucleotide ribosomal RNA is filed under the name uncultured bacterium. RNAcentral's name for it is "partial 16S ribosomal RNA". It matches the Rfam family "Bacterial small subunit ribosomal RNA", at positions 28 to 507 of the family's 1533-position model. The record is from RNAcentral.